GAUGAACGCUGGCGGCGUGCCUAAUACAUGCAAGUCGAGCGAACGGACGAGAAGCUUGCUUCUCUGAUGUUAGCGGCGGACGAGUGAGUAACACGUGGAUAACCUACCUAUAAGACUGGGAUAACUUCGGGAAACCGGAGCUAAUACCGGAUGAUAUUUUGAACCGCAUGGUUCAAAAGUGAAAGACGGUCUUGCUGUCACUUAUAGAUGGAUCCGCGCUGCAUUAGCUAGUUGGUAAGGUAACGGCUUACCAAGGCAACGAUGCAUAGCCGACCUGAGAGGGUGAUCGGCCACACUGGAACUGAGCCACGGUCCAGACUCCUACGGGAGGCAGCAGUAGGGAAUCUUCCGCAAUGGGCGAAAGCCUGACGGAGCAACGCCGCGUGAGUGAUGAAGGUCUUCGGAUCGUAAAACUCUGUUAUUAGGGAAGAACAUAUGUGUAAGUAACUGUGCACAUCUUGACGGUACCUAAUCAGAAAGCCACGGCUAACUACGUG
Molecule: ribosomal RNA, 497 nt
Filed under: uncultured bacterium
Lineage: Bacteria
Description: partial 16S ribosomal RNA
Rfam family: Bacterial small subunit ribosomal RNA
Source: RNAcentral